Molecule: ribosomal RNA, 817 nt
Filed under: uncultured bacterium
Lineage: Bacteria
Description: bacterial SSU rRNA
Rfam family: Bacterial small subunit ribosomal RNA
Source: RNAcentral
AGAGUUUGAUCCUGGUUCAGAGCGAACGCUGGCGGCAGGCCUAAUACAUGCAAGUCGAACGGAUCCUUCGGGAUUAGUGGCGGACGGGUGAGUAACACGUGGGAACGUGCCCUUUGGUUCGGAACAACUCAGGGAAACUUGAGCUAAUACCGGAUGUGCCCUUCGGGGGAAAGAUUUAUCGCCAUUGGAGCGGCCCGCGUCUGAUUAGCUAGUUGGUGGGGUAAAGGCCUACCAAGGCGACGAUCAGUAGCUGGUCUGAGAGGAUGAUCAGCCACACUGGGGCUGAGACACGGCCCAGACUCCUACGGGAGGCAGCAGUAGGGAAUCUUGCGCAAUGGGCGAAAGCCUGACGCAGCCAUGCCGCGUGAAUGAUGAAGGUCUUAGGAUUGUAAAAUUCUUUCAGCGGGGACGAUAAUGACGGUACCCGCAGAAGAAGCCCCGGCUAACUUCGUGCCAGCAGCCGCGGUAAUACGAAGGGGGCUAGCGUUGCUCGGAAUUACUGGGCGUAAAGGGCGCGUAGGCGGAUGUUUAAGUCAGAGGUGAAAGCCCAGGGCUCAACCUUGGAACUGCCUUUGAUACUGGACAUCUUGAGUAUGGGAGAGGUGAGUGGAACUCCGAGUGUAGAGGUGAGAUUCGUAGAUAUUCGGAAGAACACCAGUGGCGAAGGCGACUCACUGGCCCAUUGCUGACGCUGAGGCGCGAAAGCGUGGGGAGCAAACAGGAUUAGAUACCCUGGUAGUCCACGCUGUAAACGGUGAGUGCUAGUUGUCGGCAUGCAUGCAUGUCGGUGACGCAGCUAACGCAUUAAGCACUCCGC